AAUAUUGCACAAUGGGGGAAACCCUUAUGCAGCGACGCCGCGUGAGUGAAGAAGUAUUUCGGUAUGGAAAGCUCUAUCAGCAGGGACGAACAUGAAGGUACCUGACUAAGAAGCCCCGGCUAACUACGUGCCAGAAGCCGCGGUAAGACGUAGGGGGCAAGCGUUAUCCGGAUUUACUGGGUGUAAAGGGAGCGUAGGUGGUUCGGUAAGUCAGGUGUGAAAGCCCGGGGCUCAACCCCGGGAUUGCACUUGAAACUAUCGAACUUGAGUGCAGGAGAGGUAAGUGGAAUUACUAGUGUAGCGGUGAAAUGCGUAGAUAUUAGGAGGAACACCAGUGGCGAAGGCGGCUUACUGGACUGUAACUGACAAUGAGGCUCGAAAGCGUGGGGAGCAAACA
RNAcentral lists this ribosomal RNA (397 nucleotides) under uncultured bacterium. Its description in RNAcentral is "partial 16S ribosomal RNA". It matches the Rfam family "Bacterial small subunit ribosomal RNA", at positions 360 to 774 of the family's 1533-position model. The record is from RNAcentral.